Molecule: long non-coding RNA, 1213 nt
Organism: Ailuropoda melanoleuca (giant panda)
Lineage: Eukaryota; Metazoa; Chordata; Mammalia; Carnivora; Ursidae
Exons: 3
Source: RefSeq, a predicted model, not a curated record
ACAGAACAAACAGGCCGACUAAAGGGAGAAAAGAAGCCACAUCAGGUAUGUGAUCAGAUGGUGGUUGGCAUUCCAGGCAUCCCCGAUCCUCUGGCUGAGCAGCAGAGCAACACGGGGGCUGCAGGGAUUUUGGAUAAAAGAGUUUAUUAGUUGAGUUCACUGGCUUGUCGCCCCAAAGCUUGGAACUAUGCUUCAAACUUAGCCAAGGCCCUUCCUUUGAGAGCGUGCCAGCUACGGAAGACAGUCAAGCAGGUGCAAACUGUUUGUUCCAGUCAGCCUUCCUGCAGAAAGCUGGAGAACAAGCCCUCUAGGCCAGCAAGUGACAUUCCCAACAGCAGAAAGCACCAAGAAAAUGAUCAUUUUCAUACUCUGAGUACAAUUCCACAACCCAUUUUCUGCAGUCCUCAAGUCUGAAAAGCUCUGAAAAACAAAAGUUUUUAUUUUGUUUAUAAGUCUGCAGCAAGUUCAUGUGGUGGUGAAAUCGGACAUGAACUGUCUUGGAGCUAUUUAUAAUCUUUAUCUUAUUUAGCAGGAAUAUUUACAGAUUGUGCUGUGAAAAAUUAAUGUUCAAUUAUAAGGUAUACCCUGCUAGUGUGUGUGUAUAUCUGAAAUAUUCUAAAUCUCAAAGCACAUAUAACCCCAGGGGUUGUAGAUAAGAAAUUAUAUACCCAUAGUGUAAAAACACCAUAAAAGUCUCUACUUAAUGAAAAGGUUGACCUCAUCUUCACAUUCAUGAAUUUCUAUUUCUCUCUCUUGCUGAACUGGAACUUGGUUCUUGGCCUAAGAGUUACUUGAUCAUCAUGGAACCAGUCUUAGACUAGAAGUUGGGACACCUGAAUGAAAUUGUUUAACCUCUCUGCGCCUCUUUCCUCCUCUGUGAAAUGGGGAUGAAAACGCAGUCCUCGUUGUUUCCAGAGCAGGUCUGGGACUCAAAUAGGAAAACCCGUUGAAAUGGGAAACCACCACGAAAGUAUCAGAUGUACUUAUCAAAGCCAAGCCACAUGACCGUUCAACUGGUGACCACCCGGUUGGCUUUAUAGAAUUAUUCCUGAUUUAAAAAAUACAUGCUCCAUUAGUUCACCUAAGCCCAAACCCUUCAUCAUCAGUUUGUGAGUCCUGAUGCCCUCUUACAUUUCAUCACACGGGAUGAGUGUUGGACGUCAUACCUGGGCAAACUUACGAUUACAUAUUUGCGUGAGUUUAAAAGCACAGG